This 497-nucleotide ribosomal RNA is filed under the name uncultured bacterium. RNAcentral describes it as "partial 16S ribosomal RNA". It matches the Rfam family "Bacterial small subunit ribosomal RNA", at positions 28 to 507 of the family's 1533-position model. The record is from RNAcentral.
GAUGAACGCUGGCGGCGUGCCUAAUACAUGCAAGUCGAGCGAACGGACGAGAAGCUUGCUUAUCUGAUGUUAGCGGCGGACGGGUGAGUAACACGUGGAUAACCUACCUAUAAGACUGGGAUAACUUCGGGAAACCGUAGCUAAUACCGGAUAAUAUUUUGAACCGCAUGGUUCAAAAGUGAAAGACGGUCUUGCUGUCACUUAUAGAUGGAUCCGCGCUGCAUUAGCUAGUUGGUAAGGUAACGGCUUACCAAGGCAACGAUGCAUAGCCGACCUGAGAGGGUGAUCGGCCACACGGGAAGUGAGACACGGUCAAGACUCCUGCGGGAGGCAGCAGUAGGGAAUGUGCCGCAAUGGGCGAAAGCAUGACGGAGCAACGCCGCGUGAGUGAUGAAGGUCUUCGGAGCGUAAAACUCUGUUAUUAGGGAAGAACAUAUGUGUAAGUAACUGUGCACAUCUUGACGGUACCUAAUCAGAAAGCCACGGCUAACUACGUG